GAUGAACGCUGGCGGCGUGCCUAAUACAUGCAAGUCGAGCGAACAGACGAGGAGCUUGCCCCUCUGACGUUAGCGGCGGAAGGGUGAGUAACACGUGGAUAACCUACCUAUAAGACUGGGAUAACUUCGGGAAACCGGAGCUAAUACCGGAUAAUAUAUUGAACCGCAUGGUUCAAUAGUGAAAGACGGUUUUGCUGUCACUUAUAGAUGGAUCCGCGCCGCAUUAGCUAGUUGGUAAGGUAACGGCUUACCAAGGCAACGAUGCGUAGCCGACCUGAGAGGAUGAUCGGCCACACUGGAACUGAGACACGGUCCAGACUCCUACGGGAGGCAGCAGUAGGGAAUCUUCCGCAAUGGGCGAAAGCCUGACGGAGCAACGCCGCGUGAGUGAUGAAGGUCUUCGGAUCGUAAAACUCUGUUAUUAGGGAAGAACAAAUGUGUAAGUAACUAUGCACGUCUUGACGGUACCGAAUCAGAAAGCCACGGCUAACUACGUG
Molecule: ribosomal RNA, 497 nt
Filed under: uncultured bacterium
Lineage: Bacteria
Description: partial 16S ribosomal RNA
Rfam family: Bacterial small subunit ribosomal RNA
Source: RNAcentral